This 3076-nucleotide long non-coding RNA is filed under the name Homo sapiens (human). RNAcentral describes it as "HSALNT0238825". Lineage: Eukaryota; Metazoa; Chordata; Mammalia; Primates; Hominidae. The record is from RNAcentral.
UCCAGCCUAAGCUACAGAGUGAGACUCCAUCUGAAAAAAAAAAAAGAGAGAAAAGAAAAGAAAGAAGAGGAAGGGCUACUGCACUCUGGACUCAGUGCCCUCCUUGGUCUCACACCCUUGCUGACCUCCCUCCUGGCACAUGAGGUCUUCAUGCUGCUCAGGCCCAUGGCUGACCUCCUCUCCUCUGGAGUGGUCCAUCCCUACCAGAUCUCCUCCUGUCCAGCUGAGCAGACCAGGCCUAUACAGGCUGCUUCUGGCUCCACUGAGGCCCAGGAGCUUACACCUUUGGACCGGGUGUCAAAAGUGUCCUUCUUAUUAGCAAAAAGAAUUUUGGAGGGAAAAACAAAUGACAUCCUCAGACAUCCUAGGGCAGAGUCAGAAGCAGAGAGGAGACUGAAUGGGCUCGGGUGGGUGUGGAAGGUCACUGCAGGCCGCCAUAGGACAGGCCUGGGCUCACAGGAGCAGGAUGUGGGGAGGGGGAUUGCCAGGCAGGGGUGGGGACCAAAGUGAAGGCCACCUGGUGGGAGCCAGUCAGAGGGGUGGGGCAGGGUUAGAUCACAAGGGAAUCCAAUGCCAGGGGGCCAGGGGAUGUUUUGCAAUGUGGGCAACUGAACCUGAGAUGUGACAAGACCAGUGAUUUGGCGACCUGCCCAGGCAGGCCCAGCCCCCAGGGUAUUGAGAUGACACAUUCUAAACUCAGGUGACCCGGGCCUUGGGAGUGCACUAGCAACUGGCUGUCAGUCACGGGGCUCUUCAGAUAUUUGUCACGUGAAUGAGCCAGACAGUAAGUGGAGAUGCCCUUCCUAGUCACCUACUGCCGGCGUUCACGCUGUGAACCAGCGAACUAGGCCACCGGCCUGACCCAGUUUUCCCUGUGGCCUGCCAAGCCAAGGAGAAGCAGACGCGGCCGGCGCAGGCGUCCAGGGUGACUCGGAGGCGUGGCUCUGCAGUCGCGGCUCUGCAGUCGCCUUGGAGCGGCUGCCCUUCCGACCCCGCCUGGGCUAUGACUCAUCUUCGGUGGAGGAGAAAGGGGCCUUUGUGAGCGCCCAGCUCCGGCGUCUCCUGGACAGCACCGCCCUCCGGUGGCCGCGAGUCAGGAGGGCUGGGGAAGCCGCCCGAGAGGCAGCGCCCGAGCUCCCCACGAGCUGCUGUGCCAUUGGAAGCGCCAGCGCCCUCCCCUCGGAGUCCAGCCAAGUCGGGGGGAAGACUGGGAGAGAAAUCGUCACCCCCUAGAGGGCAAGUGGGCUCAGCCCUAGGAAAUGCUUGUUUCUCCAGCCCCUCCCAGACGCCCCGGGGAAACGGCAUCCCAGAGCUCCGCUCCCUGGAGGCCCCUCCAGAGAGGGACCCGGGGCCCCGCCCCGCAGCUGGAGAAGGGGUGAAUGCCUUUCCUACCUAACGCCUGGUCCGCGGCCCUGCUUGUUGCGUCUCCAAGACCACGUGUCUGCUGCAUUUUAAAAAUAGUUGUGAACAUCUGACUUUCUCCUUUUGUGAGUUGCCUAUUCAUAUCCUUGGUCUGCUUUUCUAUUUUCUAUUUUUUCUCUUGUUGACGUACAGAAGCACUUUAAAAAUGUCAGUUCUGUCGAAUGUGUUGCAAAUAUUUUUCUAAGCUUAGAAUUUUACCUUCUGAUUUUGUUUUUGGUGAUAUUUGAUACACCACACGACAUUUUGAUGUGGGAUGACCUUUUGAUGUUUUUCUUUUUCUUUCUUUAGUUUUUUAUUUUUGAGUCAGCGCCUCACUCUGUCACCCAGGCUGGAGUACAGUGGCGUGAUCUUGGCUCCCUGCAGUCUCCGCCUCCCGGCUCAAGCCAUCCUCCCACCUUAGCCUCCCUAGUAGCUGGAACCACAGGUGCACACCACUACGCCCGGCUAAUUUUUGUAUCUUUUGUAGAGAGGAGGUCUCGCUAUGUUGCCCAGGCUGGUCUUGAACUCCUGGGCUCAAGCAACCUGCCUGCCUUGGGCCUCCCAAAGUGCUGGGAUUACAGGCUUGAGCCACUACUCCCGGCCUUGAUGUUUUCCUUUAUUCUUUCUCCCUUUUGUUUUUUUUUAAUUGUAAAACUGCUCCCAUCUGAGUAUCACACAGACAUUUCAGAUCUAUAUUUUUUCUUUUCUGCUCCUCUUCCCCCCUUCCCUUCCUCCAUUUCCUCUUACUCCUUCAUUUGGCUUUUAAACCCACCUGGGACUAAUUUUGAUAUAAACUGGAAGAUAAAGAUCUAAACUUAUUUUUUUCUGAAUAGUCAACUUUUCAUAUGUCAUUAUUCAGGCUUUCUCUCUUGUUUGUUUGUUUGUUUGUUUUGAGACAGUCUUGCUUUUGUCUCCCAGGCUGGAGUGCAGUGGCACAAUCUCUGCUCACUGCAACCUCGGCUUCUCAGGUUCAAGCGAGUCUCCUGGCUCAGCCUUCCCAGUAGCUGGGAUUACAGGCGCGUGCCACCAUGCCCGGACUUUGGAGUUUGCUGAAAUGUAACCUCAGAAUAAGUGGGGUAUGACUGCCCUCUCCUUUGAGGGAAAAGAAAAAGUAUUUUCAGGCCAGGCACGGUGGCUCAUGCUUAUAAUCCCAGCACUUUGGGAGGCUGAGGUAGGUGGAUCACUUGGGCUCAAGAGUUUGAGGCCAGCCUAGGUGAAACACUGUCACAACAAAAAAUACAAAAAUUAGCCAGGCAUGGUGGCGCAUGCCUGUGGUCCCAGCUACUUAGGAGGCUGAGGUGGGAGGAUUGCUUGAGCCCAGGAGGUUGAGGCUGCAGUGAUCCAUGAUUUCACCACUGCGUUCCAGCCUGGGCGAUAGGACCAGACUGUGAGUCAAAAAAUAAAAGUAUUUUCAUCCCUCCUUAUUAACAGCGAAAUUGUGACCCAAAGACAAUACUCAUCAAAAUCCAACCAGUUUUUAGUGAUCUGAGAGUUUGUUUUAAAAAAAUAAUCCUGGCCAGGCACGGUGGCUCAUGCCUGUAAUCCCAGCACUUUGGGAGGCUGGGGCAGGCGGAUUACCUGAGGUCAGGAGUUUGAGACCAGCCGGGCAGGCCAACAUGGCAAAACCCCAUCUCUACUAAAAAUACAAAAAUUAGCUGGGCGUGGUGGUACAUGC